CCUACGGGGGGCAGCAGUGGGGAAUAUUGGACAAUGGGGGGAACCCUGAUCCAGCCAUGCCGCGUGUGUGAAGAAGGCCCUCGGGUUGUAAAGCACUUUCAGUGAGGAAGAAAGCCUGGUGGUUAAUACCCAUCAGGAAAGACAUCACUCACAGAAGAAGCACCGGCUAACUCCGUGCCAGCAGCCGCGGUAAUACGGAGGGUGCGAGCGUUAAUCGGAAUUACUGGGCGUAAAGCGCGCGUAGGUGGCUUGAUAAGCCGGUUGUGAAAGCCCCGGGCUCAACCUGGGAACGGCAUCCGGAACUGUCAAGCUAGAGUGCAGGAGAGGAAGGUAGAAUUCCCGGUGUAGCGGUGAAAUGCGUAGAGAUCGGGAGGAAUACCAGUGGCGAAGGCGGCCUUCUGGACUGACACUGACACUGAGGUGCGAAAGCGUGGGUAGCAAACAGGAUUAGAUACCCCAGUAGUC
Molecule: ribosomal RNA, 465 nt
Filed under: Vreelandella stevensii
Lineage: Bacteria; Pseudomonadati; Pseudomonadota; Gammaproteobacteria; Oceanospirillales; Halomonadaceae
Description: partial 16S ribosomal RNA
Rfam family: Bacterial small subunit ribosomal RNA
Source: RNAcentral